Molecule: long non-coding RNA, 315 nt
Filed under: Hordeum vulgare
Lineage: Eukaryota; Viridiplantae; Streptophyta; Magnoliopsida; Poales; Poaceae
Description: long non-coding RNA (HVUL_LNC019359)
Source: RNAcentral
GAUGGGCAGUCUUGGGAACUCCCCCUUCUACCGUGAAGCUCGAGUUUGGCUUCCCAUUGCUGAACAAAACACACCAGAAAUACGGACCGCCGCCAGAAGUGCCGGUGACAGCCGCCCCCACCUCUGUGUGGUUCUUGCUAUGCAAUACCUGGAGGCUCCUCUCAUCAGCAAUGAGCAUGUCGAAGGCCUGUGCUGGAGGUGGGUAGGUUGGCUGGCACGCCAGGAGCCUCCCAGUGAUCUUGGCAAGGCUUGCAGUUUGGACACCACAAUUUGGGGCAAAUGUGUCGAUGAAACUGGAAUCCACAGGCUUCUUGU